Molecule: long non-coding RNA, 5245 nt
Organism: Oncorhynchus keta (chum salmon)
Lineage: Eukaryota; Metazoa; Chordata; Actinopteri; Salmoniformes; Salmonidae
Exons: 2
Source: RefSeq, a predicted model, not a curated record
CUACACUCUAUUGCCCUACACCACUAUCCUGCCCCUGAGAAGGAGAGUAGAGGACACAAGAGAGAGAGGAAGAUGGCAAGGAGGAUGAGGAGGUCACAUAUCUUUGUGCUCCAUCUGACAGAUAGAGAAUUUUUUUUUUUUCAUGAAAGAAAUGCAAAGUAAUGUACAGUGGGGAGAACUAGUAUUUGAUAACCUGCCGAAUCGGCCGUGUUUCCUAUUUACGAAGCAUGUAGAGGUCUGUCAUUUUUAUCACAGGUACACCUCAACUGUAUAUAUAAUCAUAUAAAUAAAAUGCAAAUUAAUUACUUUUUUAAAAAAACAUACAAUGUGAUUUUCUGGAUUUUUGUUUUAGAUUCAGUCUCUCACAGUUGAAGUGUACCUACGAUAAAAAUUACAGACCUCUACAUGCUUUGUAAGUAGGAAAACCUGCAAAAUCGGCAGUGUAUCAAAUACUUGUUCUCCCCACUGUGUAUGUAUGUAUGUAUGUAUGUAUGUAUGUAUGUAUGUAUGUAUGUAUGUAUGUAUGUAUGUAUGUAUGUAUGUAUGUAUGUAUGUAUGUAUGUAUGUAUGUAUGUAUGUAUGUAUGUAUGUAUGUAUGUAUGUAUGUAUGUAUGUAUGUAUGUGAUAAGGUACUGUAGAACUAAGGAAUGAAGACGCCGAAGUUCUGCGCAUUACCUUGGAAAAAAUGGAGGACAAGGCAGAGCCGAGUCUCUUUGCGGAGGUCAUUUUUCUAAAAUGGUGUACAGAACGUCGGCGUCUAUCCCGCUUAUACCACAGUUACCAAAGAGAACAAUACUAAAGCACACAUUUAUCGUUAGGAAAAAAAACUUUUUUUUGUCAAUUAUUUUUUUAUAAGAGAAUUCAUGCUUUCUCAUCUUUUGGUUGCUAGAGACGUGACCCAGUCGGUCGUUCAAUACUGUCCUUCUCAUCUCUUACUUGUUAACUAGCCAACUAGCUACGGCUAACACAGUCACCACGUCGGCAGCCAGAAUAACAGCAAAGUAGAUGGAUUUUUGCAUUUUUGUUUAAGCUGUUUUCUAGUGACAUUCAUUUGGAUAAUGAGCUGAUGACCCAACCCCCCCCAAAAACAAAAUCCUGGCAUAGUGCCUUCUCAUCAUGCCGAGGAGAUCACAUUGCAUAUCAAACACUAACGCUAGGCUAGACGCUAAAUAGCUAAAUAGUUUGUUGCUAGCAAACCUGCUAAUAUGACAACCUAAUUCAAACAUAUCAAUUGCUGAAAACAGCUGGACAAACUCGAAAUGUCACGUGGCAGGAUUUGAAAGCAUAGCGCCCAUUUGCGUCACGACUACCGACAGUAGGGGACCGGAGAAAUCCAUGUUCAUCACACACCGCGUUGGGUCAUCAGAUACUCCAAAAGAAAAUGUUGAAAGCAUCGAACAAAAAAGCUAAAACAAUUGCUACCGACAUAUACCUGCGUUUGGGUGGUUGUUGGUUUAGCUUUCUGUAGCUUUGUAGUGUGGGCUGCAUGUGUGUCGGUGCUUAAUUGCGUUAAUGAUUACAAAGUGAGCCCCGUUAUCUUUUCCAACUGUCCCAUUUAUAUCUGGGUUUUAAUGUCCAGUCUAGAUUGUCCUUCUAGCUAAUCAGAAACGAGUAUUCAACAAUGCUGUGGUAUAAUUUAAAGUAAUGCUUUACUUUUAUUUAAACUGAUCCCCAACACCGCUAAACACACAGCAACAACUUGUCUGUUCGUCUCUUAGAAGGGUUUUAAUAUCUGUUUCCACCUUGUCUGUCUGGGUUGGAGUUUAGAGAAAAUGUUUUUGUUUUUUUUUAGACUUGUUUCUGACUCAGAAAGCAGGAAGUAGAUCCUUCAAAGCAGGAAGUUAAAUGUGAAAUUAUUGCUUUUGAAUGAAAAUUCCACUAUAUUUUGGACAAUCAUGGCAGGCAGCUGAGGCAGAGCUGUGUCCUUUGUUCUUCUGUGUUAUUGUAUGUAGUUGUUGUUAUUUGUAAAUUCAGGUUCCCUUUUUAUCUAAUAUUAGGUUGUGGUUAGAAGAUCUGAUUAACAUUCGGGUAUCAAAAAUAGAGAAAAUCGGAAACUACUUUUUCACGGCAUGGUAUUCCAAACUUUACACUUACACCGCUCGAACAUCGAGAAGAUUCAAAUACUGCUCCCCCCCCCACCCCCUUGAAACGUGACUUUUUUUCGUUCUCAUGCUAAGCUAGCAGUAGCCACCGUAUCUUCUGGCAUAUUACACCUACUUAUACUUCUAUUGUGGACACAAUAUAGUGUGGACAGUAGAAUGAUUUCCAUUCAUUUCUCUGAGAACAAUAUCUUCAUUUAACUCCAUGUCAUCAGGCGGAUGCUGUCCCUCUUCCUCUACUUUCUCCUCCUCUUCCUCACUUCUUCCACUCCUCUCCUCUGGCUCUCUGUGUGUUUUCUCUCCAAUACUACUACUACUACUACUACUACUACCACCACUGCUACAACCUCAACGCGCACACGUGUGUGUGUGUGUGUGUGUGUGUACUCCAAAUGCCUCCCUCUCUGAACCUGGUACUACCACAAAUCUAUUUUUAACUGCUUGUGUUUUAGUUUUCAGAUUUUCUGUGAGGAAGUCAUGUUAAAUGUAUGUAUGUAUGUAUGUAUGUAUGUAUGUGUGUGUGUGUGUGUGUGUGUGUGUGUGUGUGUGUGUGUGUGUGUGGUAAUGUUAUGUAUGUAUGUAUGUAUGUGUGGUAAUGUAAUGUGUGUGUGUUAGGAUUUUAUUAAGUUGUCUAUUUUGAGUUUUGCAAACCAACCGUUUUUUAAUUUAUUUUCUUCUCUCGAUUAUUUGAGUUUUUAUUGAUGUUGUUGGAGAAGGGAGGAUAAGAUUUCAAGAUAUUCAAAGUAGUGGUCGUCUGUUGGCCUACAGAUCUGUAUGUAGUCCGACUCUGCAACUGAAUAGGAGAACACGGGCUGUGUCCCAAAAAUGGAAUCAUAUUCCCGAAGUAGUGCACUACUUUUGGCCUAUGAGUCCAAUGGGUCCUGAUCAAAAAGUAGUGCACUACAUAGGGAUUAAGGUGCUAUUUGGGAUGUGCACUUAAAAAAAUUAAAAUAAAACACUGUCAGUAGUCUUCUCUUCUUUCCAGUAACUUUCUCCAAAAUCCUCUGGUUUUCCAAAUAAUUCAGGGAUUCUAGGAAUUUCAGGGUAAAGUUACUGGAAUUUUGCAACACUUAGCCCCUCCCACUCGCACUCCGUUACUCCUUAGACUCUAGCCAAUCGUCUUUGAGCAGUGUGGUGGUUGUAUGUAAGCGUGAUGUAAUGCGAUGAUGAAUCUCUGUGUGUUUUCAGAUGUAUUUUGUUGUUCGACCUCGUUUUACCUCGUGUUUUGGGAGGCUGUGUUAUUUACUCACACCUUUUCAGUGGCAAUCUAAACAUUUUUAUCUACUUGUCAUUUUUAUUUUGUCAUAGCCUGAGUGCCGGUCUGUUUAUGCGAUCAUACCAUCUCCUUGUAAUGGAUAAGGACAUUUUAAUGGUGGCAAGAGAAAACAGGUCUGGGACCAGGCUAACUGGCAAGAACAAACAGGUCUGGGACCAGGCUAACUGGCAAUAAACAGGUCUGGGACCAGGCUAACUGGCAACAAACAGAUCUGGGACCAGGCUAACUGGCAACAAACAGAUCUGGGACCAGGCUAACUGGCAAGAGAAAACAGGUCUGGGACCAGGCUAACUGGCAACAAACAGAUCUGGGACCAGGCUAACUGGCAACAAACAGAUCUGGGACCAGGCUAACUGGCUACAAACAGAUCUGGGACCAGGCUAACUGGCUACAAACAGGUCUGGGACCAGGCUAACUGGCAACAAACAGGUCUGGGACCAGGCUAACUGGCAACAAACAGGUCUGGGACCAGGCUAACUGGCAACAAACAGGUCUGGGACCAGGCUAACUGGCAACAAACAGGUCUGGGACCAGGCUAACUGGCUACAAACAGGUCUGGGACCAGGCUAACUGACAACAAACAGGUCUGGGACCAGGCUAACUGGCUACAAACAGAUCUGGGACCAGGCUAACUGGCUACAAACAGAUCUGGGACCAGGCUAACUGGCUACAAACAGAUCUGGGACCAGGCUAACUGGCAACAAACAGGUCUGGGACCAGGCUAACUGGCUACAAACAGAUCUGGGACCAGGCUAACUGGCAACAAACAGGUCUGGGACCAGGCUAACUGGCAACAAACAGGUCUGGGACCAGGCUCAUUUUUUUUUUCGCUCCAGUCUAAGUCUGAGAGCAUCUUCCUUUGUAUUCCCUCCUUUUCAUUUAUUUAUAAGAUUCAAUUAUUAAGUGAGACUUUUUUAAAUUGGUUGUAGUUGUUCUUCAAUGUCCCGUCCACUCCAGUCUCAUUUUGAUUUGAUUGGUUGUAGUUGUUCUUCAAUGUCCCGCCCACUCCAGUCUCAUUUUGAUUUGAUUGGUUGUAGUUGUUCAAUGUCCCGUCCACUCCAGUCUCAUUUUGAUUUGAUUGGUUGUAGUUGUUCUUCAAUGCCCCGCCCACUCCAGUCUCAUUUUGAUUUGAUUGGUUGUAGUUGUUCUUCAAUGCCCCGCCCACUCCAGUCUCAUUUUGAUUUGAUUGGUUGUAUUACGACGGAGAUGUGGUUAUCCCACCUAGCUUAUCGUAACAUGAAUGCACUAACUUGUAAAUCGCUCUGGAUAAGACUAUCUGUUAUCAUGAUGACGUUGACAAAUGAAAUGCUAUUUCUGGGACUUCUUUCUCCUCUGCGAUAUUAAACAUGCAACUUGUCUGAGUGAAUGCAAUGUGUAUACAAUACUAAGUUAUACCGGAUCAAGAAAAAAACAUUAUUUUAGAAACUUAAAAAAAAAAAACGAAAAAAAUUGUGCGAAAUAUAACGAUAAAAUUAUGACACAUUUAUUUGUAUUUAUGAAAUUUUUGUUCUCUUUUUAAUAAAUGAAUGUCGUUUUUAUUUUUUUUAUUUAACUAGGCAAGUCAGUUAAGAACAAAUUGUUAUUUACAAUGACGGCCUACACCAGCCAAAACCGUAACCCGGACGACGCUGGACCAAUUGUGCACCGCCCUAUGGGACUCCCAAUCACGGCCGUUAGUUAAGGAUAAAUGAGAUGUAAAACUAGGUGUGGCCAUUUUGAAUGAAUGGUUGAGAUCUCCUGUAGGUUUAGUGGAAGCACGUAGAAGUUGGGAGUUUUAUGUUUUAGCAUGGUCAUCUACUGUGUCUGAAAGAGAGAAUGAAGGUCAUUUAUCAGAUGUGCUGUAGUAAAAAAAAUAAAUGUUUGAUGCUUA